CAGUAGCCACGGUAAUACGUAGGGUGCAAGCGUUAAUCGGAAUUACUGGGCGUAAAGCGUGCGCAGGCGGUUAUAUAAGACAGAUGUGAAAUCCCCGGGCUCAACCUGGGAACUGCAUUUGUGACUGUAUAGCUAGAGUACGGCAGAGGGGGAUGGAAUUCCGCGUGUAGCAGUGAAAUGCGUAGAUAUGCGGAGGAACACCGAUGGCGAAGGCAAUCCCCUGGGCCUGUACUGACGCUCAUGCACGAAAGCGUGGGGAGCAAACAGGAUUAGAUACCCCGGUGGUCCCUGUCUCUUAUAC
RNAcentral lists this ribosomal RNA (301 nucleotides) under uncultured bacterium. RNAcentral describes it as "partial 16S ribosomal RNA". It matches the Rfam family "Bacterial small subunit ribosomal RNA", at positions 509 to 807 of the family's 1533-position model. The record is from RNAcentral.